GGGGGAUAACGUUUGGAAACGAACGCUAAUACCGCAUGAUAUUAUUGGGCAGCAUUGCCUGAUAAUCAAAGGAGCAAUCCGCUGAAAGAUGGGCUCGCGUCCGAUUAGGUAGUUGGCGGGGUAACGGCCCACCAAGCCGACGAUCGGUAGCCGGACUGAGAGGUUGAACGGCCACAUUGGGACUGAGACACGGCCCAGACUCCUACGGGAGGCAGCAGUGAGGGAUAUUGGUCAAUGGGGGAAACCCUGAACCAGCAACGCCGCGUGAGGGAAGACGGUUUUCGGAUUGUAAACCUCUGUCCUCUGUGAAGAUGAUGACGGUAGCAGAGGAGGAAGCUCCGGCUAACUACGUGCCAGCAGCCGCGGUAAUACGUAGGGAGCAAGCGUUGUCCGGAUUUACUGGGUGUAAAGGGUGCGUAGGCGGCUUUGCAAGUCAGAAGUGAAAUCUAUGGGCUUAACCCAUAAACUGCUUUUGAAACUGCAGGGCUUGAGUGAAGUAGAGGUAGACGGAAUUCCCGGUGUAGCGGUGAAAUGCGUAGAGAUCGGGAGGAACACCAGUGGCGAAGGCGGCCUACUGGGCUUUAACUGACGCUGAGGCACGAAAGCGUGGGUAGCAAACAGGAUUAGAUACCCUGGUAGUCCACGCUGUAAACGAUGAUUACUAGGUGUGGGUGGACUGACCCCAUCCGUGCCGGAGUUAACA
Molecule: ribosomal RNA, 703 nt
Filed under: uncultured bacterium
Lineage: Bacteria
Description: bacterial SSU rRNA
Rfam family: Bacterial small subunit ribosomal RNA
Source: RNAcentral